This 450-nucleotide ribosomal RNA is filed under the name uncultured Glomus. Its description in RNAcentral is "SSU rRNA". It matches the Rfam family "Eukaryotic small subunit ribosomal RNA", at positions 569 to 1024 of the family's 1831-position model. The record is from RNAcentral. Lineage: Eukaryota; Fungi; Glomeromycota; Glomeromycetes; Glomerales; Glomeraceae.
AGCAGCCGCGGUAAUUCCAGCUCCAAUAGUGUAUAUUAAAGUUGUUGCAGUUAAAAAGCUCGUAGUUGAAUUUCGGGAUCAAUAUGCUGGUCGUGCCAUUGGUACGUACUAGUAUUAUUGGUUUCUUCCUUCUGAUGAAUCAUGAUGUCAUUAAGUUGAUGUUAUGGAGAAUCAGGACUGUUACUUUGAAAAAUUAGAGUGUUUAAAGCAGGCUCGCGCUUGAAUACAUUAGCAUGGAAUAAUGAAAUAGGACGUUUGAUUCUAUUUUGUUGGUUUCUAGGAUUGACGUAAUGAUUAAUAGGGAUAGUUGGGGGCAUUAGUAUUCAAUUGUCAGAGGUGAAAUUCUUGGAUUUAUUGAAGACUAACUACUGCGAAAGCAUUUGCCAAGGAUGUUUUCAUUAAUCAAGAACGAAAGUUAGGGGAUUGAAGACGAUCAGAUACCGUCGUAGU